UACGUAGGCAGCAAGCGUUGUUCGGAAUUACUGGGCGUAAAGAGUGUGUAGGCGGUGUUCUAAGUCUGGUGUGAAAUCUCCCGGCUCAACUGGGAGGGUGCGCCGGAAACUGGAAUGCUCGAGUAUGGGAGAGGUAAGCGGAAUUCCUGGUGUAGCGGUGAAAUGCGUAGAUAUCAGGAGGAACACCUGUGGUGUAGACAGCUUACUGGACCAUCACUGACGCUGAGACACGAAAGCGUGGGUAGCAAACAGG
RNAcentral lists this ribosomal RNA (253 nucleotides) under uncultured bacterium. RNAcentral's name for it is "partial 16S ribosomal RNA". It matches the Rfam family "Bacterial small subunit ribosomal RNA", at positions 524 to 776 of the family's 1533-position model. The record is from RNAcentral.